Humulus lupulus (European hop) is the source of this 1976-nucleotide long non-coding RNA. RefSeq lists it as uncharacterized. The record is from RefSeq and is a predicted model, not a curated record. The transcript is spliced from 3 exons. NCBI's taxonomy places the organism in Eukaryota, Viridiplantae, Streptophyta, Magnoliopsida, Rosales, Cannabaceae.
CCAGGGUAAUAACUCUCAUUAUAUUAAGAAGUAAUUUUACAAUAACCAGUUCAAGAAUCAAUUUGUAAAACUAUACAAUCUAUCUCAAAAUACAAUGAAGCUUUUUACCCUAAAUAACAAAAUCCCUUGGUUAUAGAUGCAAGAUCCCAUUGUUUCAAUGUUGAACUCCCUUCAACAAUAUCUCAUAUCCGAAUACCUUCAAAUCUAUAGCAUCAAGACCCAACUGAACUCCUUCAGCAAUCACGGCUUGAUUCCAGAGCUUGUACAUAAACCUUCAACCACCAUCAAUGGAGUUUCUUGCCAGAAUCUGCAAAAAUCAAUAGAAGAAAGGGAAGAGAAAAUACAAAGCACACUAUGCAAUCAUCCAAUCUAAGAGAGUUGGUUAUAACUAAUUAACCAGCCAAUAUAUAUACUUAGUUGCAAUUAGGUAUAAACCAGAAAACAAACAACAACUGUUAAUCACUAACAACCUUGCUAUACACACAAGCUGACGUGGACACUUACUAAAAACGAACAAACUCCAGACAUAACAUAGACUAUUCCAGACACGACUGGACCUAAUUUUUCAUACUGAAAAUAUUGGUCCUUACAACGGUUAAUCUCCAUAAUAAAAAUGGGCAUAGGAGUAGUACCUCAAGAAACCUGGGAACACUCACUAUCCAUGCAGAAGAAACAAUUGCUUCAAAGAGUGUUGUUGAUAUAGUAUUCUGUUGUUCUAAUUUGGAUAACAAAGACUUAUUUUCUAAAAGUGUAUGUAUUUUUGCAUAUAUAGCACCUUGUUGAAAUCUAUUUUAUUUGGUGUGCAUUCCACACCAUGUUCAAUUUUCUUUACACUUUUCUUCUUAUUUUCGUUAUAGGAUCCUUUCUUAAAAAUUUCUAGAAUUGUUGAGAGGGGAGGCUCCAUUCCAAUUUGCAAGACAGAAGUAAUUGACAAUAACUUAAACCCCAUUUGGAAACCAUUAUCUCUGAAUAUGCAUCAAUUUGGAAGCAAGGAUAAUCCAUUGCUUAUCGAGUGCUUUGAUUUUAAUAGCAGUGGCAAUCAUGUACUUAUUGGGAAACUACAGAAGUCAGUGGGACAACUAGAAAAACUUUGCAAGGAAAGAAUUGGUACAAACUUUGUAAUGCCAUCCACGAAAAGUAGUCACGAAAAUGUGUUUAUAUAUUUAUUCAUUAGAUUUUAAGUUUAUUAACUAUUUAAUUCUUUAUAGCUAGAGACAUUUCACCACUUUCUCAACAAUUUUCAACAUAUUAUUAUAGGUACUAAAGGGCCAGUUGUUAGUGGACUAUUUUAAUGAAAAGCAACAAUUCAGCUUUCUUGAUUACAUUUCUAGUGGAUUUGAGCUCAACUUUAUGAUUAUUGUUGAUUUUACAAGUUUCAAACUUUGAACAUUUUUAUAAAUUCUCUUCACUAAUCACAUUGACUUAAGUAUGGUUUAUUCCAACAUUGAUUUUUUUUUUUCUUCUUUUCCAGCCUCUAAUGGGAAUCCUCGACAAUCUGACUCUUUGCACUACAUUGAUCCUUAUACCCGGUUAAACUCUUACCAAAGGGUACGUAUUGUAAAAAUCAUAAUAAUAUAAACUCACUAAUUAGGCAAUAUGAAAAAAAUAUGUAUUAAACAUAUACAAUGGACUGAUUAAACUAAUUGCAGGCAAUAAUGGAGGUUGGAGAAGUCAUUCAGUUUUAUGAUUUUGACAAGCGCUUUCUUGCUUGGGGUUUUGGAGGUGUGAAACCAAAUGGUACCAUAUCUCAUUGUUUCAACUUGAACUUAAAUGAAAAUGAGUUUGAGGUAAUAAUUUAAAUGAGCCAUUAGCAUUUACUUCAUCUCAGUUUCUUGAUUAAGCUAAACAUGUUUCUCAUUUAAAAUAGGUUAGAGGAGUUGAAGGCAUCAUGUCAGCCUAUGCCAAUGCUCUGUACAAUGUUUCUCUUUCGGGACCUACUUUGUUUGGCCAAGUUAUCGACAAGGCGGUGCACAUUG